Molecule: ribosomal RNA, 301 nt
Filed under: uncultured bacterium
Lineage: Bacteria
Description: partial 16S ribosomal RNA
Rfam family: Bacterial small subunit ribosomal RNA
Source: RNAcentral
CAGUCGCCGCGGUAAUACGUAGGUGGCAAGCGUUAUCCGGAAUUAUUGGGCGUAAAGCGCGCGUAGGCGGUUUUUUAAGUCUGAUGUGAAAGCCCACGGCUCAACCGUGGAGGGUCAUUGGAAACUGGAAAACUUGAGUGCAGAAGAGGAAAGUGGUAUUCCAUGUGUAGCGGUGAAAUGCGCAGAGAUAUGGAGGAACACCAGUGGCGAAGGCGACUUUCUGGUCUGUAACUGACGCUGAUGUGCGAAAGCGUGGGGAUCAAACAGGAUUAGAUACCCCAGUAGUCCCUGUCUCUUAUAC